UUAAGUGAACAAGGGCAUACGGCGGAUGCCUUGGCGCCAAGAGCCGAUGAAGGACGCGGUAAGCUGCGAAAAGGCAUGGGUAGGAGCAAGCAUCCUGUGAUCCAUGCAUAUCCGAAUGGGGCAACCCACCAUCAGUCAUGUGAUGGUACGAAAGAGGCAGACCUGGGGAACUGAAACAUCUAAGUACCCAGAGGAAAAGUAAUCAAUUGAGAUUCCCUAAGUAGCGGCGAGCGAAAGGGGAAGAGCCCAAACCAUGAAACUUCGGUUUUGUGGGGUUGAGGACCGGCAUAAAGAGAAAACUUCUUAGUCGAAUGGUUUGGAAAGGCCAUGCACAGAAGGUAAAACACCUGUAGGCGAAAAGAAGUCAAUCGGGCUGGUAUCCAGAGUACUGCGAGACACGUGAAACCUUGCAGGAAGCAGGGGGGACCACCCUCCAAGGCAAAAUACUACUUGGCGACCGAUAGCGCAUAGUACCGUGAGGGAAAGGUGAAAAGAACCCCGGGAGGGGAGUGAAAUAGAACCUGAAACCGUAUGUCUACAAGCAGUCGAAGCACCUUAAGAGUGCGACGGCGUGCCUAUUGAAGAAUGAACCGGCGAGUUACAUUAUGUUGCGAGGUUAAGUGGGAGACACGGAGCCGAAGCGAAAGCGAGUCUUAAUAGGGCGACUAGUAACAUGGUGUAGACCCGAAACCGCAGUGAUCUAUCCAUGGUCAGGUUGAAGCGCAGGUAAAAAUGCGUGGAGGACCGAACCCGUGAGUGUUGAAAAACUUUGGGAUGAACCGUGGAUAGGGGUGAAAUGCCAAUCGAACGCGGAGAUAGCUGGUACUCCCCGAAAUAGCUUUAGGGCUAGCCUCAGGGAAGAUUAUAGACGGUAGAGCACUGAUCUGGCAAGGGGGCGUAAAGCCUACCGACCCUAGUCAAACUUCGAAUGGCUAUAAUUAAGACCCUGGGAGUCAGACUGCGAGUGAUAAGACCCGUAGUCAAGAGGGAAACAGCCCAGACCGCCGACUAAGGUCCCCAAUGCUGUACUAAGUGGAAAAGGAUGUAAGACUUCAUAAACAACCAGGAUGUUGGCUUAGAAGCAGCCACCAUUAAAAGAGUGCGUAAUAGCUCACUGGUCGAGAGGCCUUGCGCCGAAGAUGUCCGGGGCUCAAGUACAGAACCGAAGUCGCGGCAGGAUUAUAUAAUUCUGGGUAGGGGAGCGUUGUAUAUCCGACUGAAGGUGUACCGGAAGGAGCGCUGGAGGAUAUACAAGAGAGAAUGCCGGUAUGAGUAGCGAAAAGAACAGUGAGAAUCUGUUCCACCGAAAGCCUAAGGUUUCCUGAGCAACGCUCGUCGACUCAGGGUAAGUCGGGACCUAAGCCGAGGCAAAAAGCAUAGGCGAUGGACAACAGGUUAAUAUUCCUGUACCGCUUCAAAUCGUUUGAGCAAUGGAGUGACACAGAAGGUAGCUUGAGCACGCGAAUGGAUGUGCGUGUCGAAGGUGGUAGGUUGCAGUAUAGGUAAAUCCGUACUGUAUAAGACCGAGAACUGAUAGAUAGACGAUACUUCGGUAAAGUCAAAUUCAAGUGAGCCAUGCUGUCGAGAAAAGCUUCUAGUGAGAGAUGAGGCGCCCGUACCGAAACCGACACAGGUAGGCGGGGAGAGAAUCCUAAGGUGCGCGGGACAACCCUCGUUAAGGAACUCGGCAAAUUGUAUCCGUAACUUAGGGAUAAGGAUAGCCGGAGGAUGUGAAGGGAUUUACUUCUGGAGCGUCAGCCGGUGGCACAAGAGAGGCCCAAGCGACUGUUUAGCACAAACACAGGUGCCUGCAAAAGAGAAAUCUGACGUAUAGGUGCUGACACCUGCCCGGUGCUGGAAGGUUAAGAGGAGGGCUUAGAGGAAACUCGAAGGCUUGAAUUGAAGCCCCAGUAAACGGCGGCCGUAACUAUAACGGUCCUAAGGUAGCGAAAUUCCUUGUCGGGUAAGUUCC
RNAcentral lists this ribosomal RNA (1972 nucleotides) under human gut metagenome. RNAcentral describes it as "bacterial LSU rRNA". It matches the Rfam family "Bacterial large subunit ribosomal RNA", at positions 1 to 1984 of the family's 2925-position model. The record is from RNAcentral.